RNAcentral lists this ribosomal RNA (468 nucleotides) under uncultured bacterium. Its description in RNAcentral is "partial 16S ribosomal RNA". It matches the Rfam family "Bacterial small subunit ribosomal RNA", at positions 28 to 507 of the family's 1533-position model. The record is from RNAcentral.
GACGAACGCUGGCGGCGUGCUUAACACAUGCAAGUCGAACGGAAAGGCCCUGCUUUUGUGGGGUGCUCGAGUGGCGAACGGGUGAGUAACACGUGAGUAACCUGCCCUUGAGUUUGGGAUAACUUCAGGAAACUGGGGCUAAUCCCGGAUAGGAGCUCCUGCUGCAUGGUGGGGGUUGGAAAGUUUCGGCGGUUGGGGAUGGACUCGCGGCUUAUCAGCUUGUUGGUGGGGUAGUGGCUUACCAAGGCUUUGACGGGUAGCCGGCCUGAGAGGGUGACCGGCCACAAUGGGACUGAGAUACGGCCCAGACUCCUACGGGAGGCAGCAGUGGGGAAUAUUGCACAAUGGGCGGAAGCCUGAUGCAGCAACGCCGCGUGCGGGAUGACGGCCUUCGGGUUGUAAACCGCUUUCGCCUGUGACGAAGCGUGAGUGACGGUAAUGGGUAAAGAAGCACCGGCUAACUACGUG